RNAcentral lists this ribosomal RNA (484 nucleotides) under uncultured bacterium. Its description in RNAcentral is "bacterial SSU rRNA". It matches the Rfam family "Bacterial small subunit ribosomal RNA", at positions 30 to 507 of the family's 1533-position model. The record is from RNAcentral.
AUUGAACGCUGGCGGCAUGCCUUACACAUGCAAGUCGAACGGCAGCACGGGAGCAAUCCUGGUGGCGAGUGGCGAACGGGUGAGUAAUAUAUCGGAACGUGCCCAGUCGUGGGGGAUAACGUAGCGAAAGCUACGCUAAUACCGCAUACGAUCUACGGAUGAAAGCGGGGGAUCGCAAGACCUCGCGCGAUUGGAGCGGCCGAUAUCAGAUUAGCUAGUUGGUGGGGUAAAAGCUCACCAAGGCGACGAUCUGUAGCUGGUCUGAGAGGACGACCAGCCACACUGGAACUGAGACACGGUCCAGACUCCUACGGGAGGCAGCAGUGGGGAAUUUUGGACAAUGGGCGCAAGCCUGAUCCAGCAAUGCCGCGUGCGGGAAGAAGGCCUUCGGGUUGUAAACCGCUUUUGUCAGGGAAGAAAUCUUCUGGGUUAAUACCUCGGGAGGAUGACGGUACCUGAAGAAUAAGCACCGGCUAACUACGUG